GUAGGCUCCAGCUCUCCUUGUCCCAUGGCAUGAUAGUUUACUGAGUUACUGCAGAGGCUGCUCCAGGAGGAGAUGUCUCUCUUGGUUGAACUUACCACAAACAUCAUCAGCUGUGAUGUCUUUUCAGAAGAGGACUUUUAAGGAAAGAUUGAGGCAAGCAUUGGAGUGAGGGGCCAAGUGCCUGGAACAACAGCAGUGGAGAGAAGCUGCUUUUAAUUUCUCCCUCCCUUGACUCAGCUCUCUGUAUUGAUGUGGGAAAGAUCUGGACAAGUACCAGGAUUUCUCUCCUGGGUGCUGGAAAGGUCUUUCCCCUGGACCUGACGACAAGAGGCAAUGUCACUGCGAAUGUUUCUGCUUCUCAGAUUCAUCAGAUGUCUGGAGAGAAACAAAGUUCCUGCCUCCUUUUUAUUGAGGAAAAGUAUUUCUAAAAGUGCUCUGCUCAGGCCUGGUGCGUCGGAUUCCAGCCUUCCUCGUGCUUGCACAAAUACUUCGCUGACUUCACCAUGGUUCUUGACCAUAUGCCAUAAUCUACUCGGGCUGCACCAUGUGGCUGAGUUCAAGCUUGCUUCAGGAUCUUUGGCUUCUGCUUUCCUGACAAAGCCUGCUGGAUUUCAGGACCUCAGAGCAGCAUUCUUCAGGCUGUGGGAAACAUGGGUGAGUGCUGACUGGGAAGGCAAGGCUGUGUCAGAGACCACCAACUCCUCCUCUAGGCAAACUUCCCCUGCUCCAAGUGCAGUAGGGACCAGCUGGGCAGCAGUUCAAGGUCACUUUCAGAGCAGGCUGGGUCAAAGCAAUGGAAUCACAGUAUUUACUGCAAACACCAAGGCUUUAUGA
This 834-nucleotide long non-coding RNA is filed under the name Anser cygnoides (Swan goose). RNAcentral's name for it is "lncRNA (ENSACDG00005001150.1)". Lineage: Eukaryota; Metazoa; Chordata; Aves; Anseriformes; Anatidae. The record is from RNAcentral.